AGCUUAUGUAUACAUUGUUUAGAUCAUAAUCAUUUAAUUAUUUAUUACAUUUACAGAUUUAUAUGCUGUCUGUAUGUAUAUCUAAUGAAAGACGGAUCUAGACUUUUAUUAUGUGGAUCCGACCAUGACCUUUGCGACUUCCAAGGGAAAAUAUUGUGAAUAAGAUUGAAAACAGUGAAGUAAAAAUAUCAAAGUUUAGAAAGGAAAUUGUGCUGUGGCUGCUUCAACAUUCACAGAAAGUGAUGCACAGGAAAAAGAUCAUCAGAAUUAAAUUCUAUCAAAGACAAAUGACAGAGAAGAAUGGAGAAAGAAGGUUGACAGAUCUUGUGCGGUCCAGCACACCAAAGGAUAUGUGAAAGUGAAUUAAAUGAGAACCUGGCCUAAAUCAUGUCUUAUGAUGAGUAUCUAAUUGUUCUAAUUGUUUUGUAAAGGGUCAAUCUCUUAUUCAAAUUCUCAAGAAAAGAAAAAAAAACAUUUUCGAAUAAAAAAAAAUUCCUUUAUUUAGUGU
Molecule: long non-coding RNA, 508 nt
Organism: Biomphalaria glabrata
Lineage: Eukaryota; Metazoa; Mollusca; Gastropoda; Planorbidae
Exons: 3
Source: RefSeq, a predicted model, not a curated record